This 688-nucleotide unclassified non-coding RNA is filed under the name Penaeus japonicus. Its description in RNAcentral is "cytochrome c oxidase subunit 2". Lineage: Eukaryota; Metazoa; Arthropoda; Malacostraca; Decapoda; Penaeidae. The record is from RNAcentral.
AUGGCAACAUGAGGUUAUUUAGGUUUACAAGACAGAGCUUCACCGCUUAUAGAACAAUUAAUUUUUUUCCAUGAUCAUGCUAUAGUAGUACUAAUCUUAAUUACUACUCUAGUUGGUUAUAUGAUGGCAACUCUUUUCUUCAAUACUUUUACGAAUCGCUUCCUUUUAGAAGGGCAAACCAUUGAAAUUGUAUGAACAGUACUUCCGGCCCUUAUUCUUAUCUUCAUCGCCCUACCUUCCUUACGAUUACUUUAUUUACUAGAUGAAGUUAAUAAUCCAAGAGUUACAUUGAAGACAAUUGGUCAUCAAUGAUACUGAAGAUAUGAAUAUUCAGACUUUUUACAAGUAGAAUUCGAUUCAUAUAUGAUCCCGACGAAUGAACUUCCCGAAGAUGGAUUCCGACUUUUAGACGUAGAUAACCGUACUAUUCUCCCUAUAAAUACACAAAUUCGAGUUUUGAUUAGUGCCGCUGAUGUUAUUCACUCAUGGACAGUUCCUGCCUUAGGAGUUAAAGCUGAUGCUAUCCCCGGACGACUUAACCAGGUGAGUUUUUUAAUAAACCGACCAGGAUUAUUUUAUGGUCAAUGUUCAGAAAUUUGUGGGGCUAAUCACAGUUUCAUACCAAUUGUAAUUGAAAGCGUUUCAGUUAACUCCUUUUUAAACUGAAUUUCUUCUGCCAGAGAAGCUU